Molecule: long non-coding RNA, 265 nt
Filed under: Lathyrus oleraceus (garden pea)
Lineage: Eukaryota; Viridiplantae; Streptophyta; Magnoliopsida; Fabales; Fabaceae
Description: Pisum sativum (pea) long non-coding RNA (PSAT_LNC009922)
Source: RNAcentral
UAUAUCAUACUCUGAUAAUAACAUCUGCGAAUGAGAAAUUCUCCCAAUUAAAGCAGGCUUCUCAAAUAUAUACUUGAUUGGAUUCAUUUUGGAUAUCAACCAAGUGGUAUGAUUCGACAUAUACUAACCCGGACGCUUAGCAGCCCAAGCCAAUGCCCAACAAGUCUUCUCUACCAUAGAAUACCGAGUCCACAGUCGGUGAAAUUCUUACUGAGGUAGUAGAUUGCAAAUUCUUUCUUUCUAGUCUCAUCUUGCUGACCAAGAA